AACGUUACAAAGACUUAGAAAAUUUCUGCCACUGGUGAUAAAUCGUAUAAUUUGGUUUAUUAUUGGCUCUUGUUUAGCUGUCCUCUUUGUUGUGGUCACCGAAAUGCCUUAUUACAAGAAAAAAAUUGAGGAACAUUGAAGAUAAACUGGAAGCAAAUCAAGUGAGAAUCAGUACAAACCCAGAUAGAGUUAGAAAUGAAGAAGACAAACUUGAAGAUGAUGCGCAUGGAAAUUUCAACGAUGGUGCGCACGGGGCUGACGAUUCGGAAGUAACAUAUUCUCAACCAAUCAAAAACAAGCCAUCAUCUAAUGCCGAUGUAACGUAUUCAGAAGUAAAUAAAACUGGAAAGUCGAAUUCUUCAGCCAGUUGUUCUAAAAAGACUCGGCAGGAUGGACAGCUGCUGUAUGCCGACCUUGACUUUGAUCCUAAUGAUGCACCUUUGAAGGGAGCCGCCGCCAAGCGUCGAAACUCUCCUACGGAGUACGUUGCUAUCGACUUUGUCAAGACAGCAGCUGAAAAGGCAGAAGAAAGCAAACCAACAGAAGCGGACAAUAUUUAUGCUAAUCAGUAAAAUGAACGUCAGUCAUAUAUAAUUUAAUCAAAGACAACCUAUGAAAAUUGUGUGCACGCGAUAAUAUAUGUGCAGAAGAUUGCUUAAACUUGUAUGUAUAAGAAGCAGUUGUCGUCGUAACUCAUAUACGUGAUAGGAAUUGUGGUUGAUAUUUUUAUGUUUGAGUAUUUGGUUGAGACUUUGCUUAUACUUACGCUAUUUUCACAAGUUGUACGAAGUUUAGAAAUGUUUGAAUAUUAUUUCGUCGAUUUCGAAGACUUCUAAAUUUAUUAUUAGCCACACUCAAAAACCACGCGUUCAAUUCCAAGCGUAGCAUAAAGUUUUCUGUAGAAAUUUGUUAGAAGACAUACAGUCUAUUUUUUUUCCUCCAUUUAUGAAUAAUGUGGGAAAUUGUCAGUUAUUUGCAGAUAAGAAGUAAAACAUAAUCUAGAAACACUGGUCAAGGUUAGUAUGAACCUCGGGCGAACAGACAGAUGCGAGUGUUAAUUUGUGUGACAUAUCUUUCAAUUGGACCACACAUACUCCGAACAGCAAAGAAUCGUAUCUGCUAAUAGGUUUUCGAGUUAUUUUUAAAAACCACGUUCAGUCUAAAUGCUAAUUUGACCUUGACCUUUGACCUCUCGAUAUCUACUGACCACAGACAAUACUGUUACGAAGUUUGAUGGAUAUUGGCAGUUUUCAGUAAUAAAUGGAACAAUUUAGUGUAAAGUUUAGUGACUCCCACCUAAAACAAAGCCUAAUCAUCUUGUAAAGUUAAAACAAAGCAUUCUCCAGUUAGUGAUGUUUUAAGUCGCGACAUCAUAGUAACUUUGACCUUUGUCCUACUGAUCCCAAAACAAUCGGGGCCGUGAACUGAAAGCCGGGCAAACAUACAAUGAUAUGCUAUUGUUAGUUCCAUCGUUCUCCAGUCUUUUUAAUUAGAAACCAUUUCAAUGUCUAUGCCAUUGUGGUCUUGUUUUUUUUUUUACCUACUACCACAGCCACGCUUUGAAGUGUGACCACUGUAUGUGAGGAAGUCCUCUCCUGAUUUGAAACUACCUAAAUGGCAUAUUGACAGACGAACGGACAAUAUGACGUACUCGAACGAUCAGUAUCCCCAACGUUUCUGAUCAGAAAGGCAAUAUUAAUGGAUGGACUAACGCUUUCAAACUGCAUGGUAUAUACUUUUAUUUUAUAUCAAGCAAUUAACUGAGAUGGUUUUUUGGACAAAAUAAUAAUAUUUUCUUUCCUGUAGCGGGAAAACAAAAUACUAUAAAAUAUCUUAGGUAGCAAGUUUUUGUAUGAAAGCUUGUUUUUUAGAUUCUCUACAAUAUUUUGACCGUAAUAUUUAUUUAAUUUAUGUACAUAAAGUAUCUAUAAAUACAAUUUAAAGUAAUUUUACUGUCAUUUCGCCAAAUGCAGUAUUCAUUUUGAGCAGUGUUAAAGUUUCUACAACCAACACUAGAGGGGCUAAAGUGUCCACUUAAAAAUGCUUUUGUAACUUCCUCAGAUUGUUGGAUAUAUCUUCAAACUUCAUAAAGUACUCACUAUCAGUGUAAAUGAGAAACCGGGAAGUGGAAAUCAUGAAAUCGUGAUUUCAGGAAGUGAAAAUCGUGAAAUAUUGAAUUAACAUAUUUGAUGCGAUUUGAAUCUUUUCAAUAAUUGUAAUGAAACUAUUACUUGAUAUAAGAUUUUCACUGGAGUUUAAGACUUUACAUGUAUAUCUAAUAUAUGCAGCACGUGUUAUGAAAAAGGAUCAUGAGCAUUGACAACAGAAAAGUCAAAAUUACCUAAAACAUUUUUCCAGGUGCGGUUUAUGAUAUUUGUUAAUGGAAAGUACAUAUAAUUCUCCAUAGAUAAUAACCUCCGGCCUCGUCUGUAUCUUUACAGAAGAAAAAUUCUGAGGCUAAUGUAUUCAAAUUUUAGUAUAAUUAUGCCCCUUCUC
Molecule: long non-coding RNA, 2496 nt
Organism: Mercenaria mercenaria
Lineage: Eukaryota; Metazoa; Mollusca; Bivalvia; Venerida; Veneridae
Exons: 4
Source: RefSeq, a predicted model, not a curated record